CUCAUGACUGAAUUCAUAGGCGGAUGAUUCAGUGUCCGUGAACCUUUUGCAAGGCAGACUGGUAGGGCUAUGUCAUCCGUACAUUCAGUUACUGUGGAUCACUCUUGCAGUCUCAAGAUAUCUAUGAAGAUCUCGUGACUGGCGAUUUGAGUAUGAGGGCGAACCAGAGACCAAGAGAGGAGUUGCACAUGGGCAACCAUGAACAUGAGCAGGAUUAGCGACCAGGGAUGUGGAUUUUUUUAAUUCA
Long non-coding RNA from Lolium rigidum, 247 nucleotides. RefSeq lists it as uncharacterized. The record is from RefSeq and is a predicted model, not a curated record. The transcript has 3 exons. NCBI's taxonomy places the organism in Eukaryota, Viridiplantae, Streptophyta, Magnoliopsida, Poales, Poaceae.